GAGGGUACAGCUCAAUGGUAGAGUGAGUGCUUAGCAUGCAACGAUGUCCUGGGUUCAAUCCCCAGUGUCUCCA
Molecule: transfer RNA, 73 nt
Filed under: Camelus bactrianus (Bactrian camel)
Lineage: Eukaryota; Metazoa; Chordata; Mammalia; Artiodactyla; Camelidae
Also listed under: 3 other names
Rfam family: tRNA
About the family: Transfer RNA (tRNA) molecules are approximately 80 nucleotides in length. Their secondary structure includes four short double-helical elements and three loops (D, anti-codon, and T loops). Further hydrogen bonds mediate the characteristic L-shaped molecular structure. tRNAs have two regions of fundamental functional importance: the anti-codon, which is responsible for specific mRNA codon recognition, and the 3' end, to which the tRNAs corresponding amino acid is attached (by aminoacyl-tRNA synthetases). tRNAs cope with the degeneracy of the genetic code in two manners: having more than one tRNA (with a specific anti-codon) for a particular amino acid; and 'wobble' base-pairing, i.e. permitting non-standard base-pairing at the 3rd anti-codon position.
Source: Rfam by way of RNAcentral